GGGAUAUUGCGCAAUGGGGGAAACCCUGACGCAGCAACGCCGCGUGGAGGAUGACGGUUUUCGGAUUGUAAACUCCUUUUAUAAGGGACGAACUAAGACGGUACCUUAUGAAUAAGCUCCGGCUAACUACGUGCCAGCAGCCGCGGUAAUACGUAGGGAGCAAGCGUUGUCCGGAUUUACUGGGUGUAAAGGGUGCGUAGGCGGCUUGGCAAGUCAGGUGUGAAAUCCAUGGGCUCAACCCAUGAACUGCACUUGAAACUGUCAGGCUUGAGUGAAGUAGAGGCAGGCGGAAUUCCCUGUGUAGCGGUGAAAUGCGUAGAGAUAGGGAGGAACACCAGUGGCGAAGGCGGCCUGCUGGGCUUUAACUGACGCUCAGGCACGAAAGCGUGGGUAGCAAACA
RNAcentral lists this ribosomal RNA (400 nucleotides) under uncultured bacterium. RNAcentral describes it as "bacterial SSU rRNA". It matches the Rfam family "Bacterial small subunit ribosomal RNA", at positions 358 to 774 of the family's 1533-position model. The record is from RNAcentral.